CUUACGGGGAGCAGCAGUGGGGGAUAUUCCACAAUGGGGGAAACCCUGAUGCAGCGACGCCGCGUGGGUGAAGAAGUAUUUCGGUAUGUAAAGCCCUAUCAGCAGGGAAGAAAGAAGACGGUACCUGACGAAGAAGCCCCGGCUAACUACGUGCCAGCAGCCGCGGUAAUACGUAGGGGGCGAGCGUUAGCCGGAUUCACUGGGUGUAAAGGGAGCGUAGACGGCCGUGCAAGCCAGGAGUGAAAGCCCGGGGCCCAACCCCGGGACUGCUCUUGGAACUGUGCGGCUGGAGUGCGGGAGGGGCAGGCGGAAUUCCUGGUGUAGCGGUGAACUGCGUAGAUAUCAGGAGGAACACCGGCGGCGAAGGCGGCCUGCUGGACCGCGACUGACGUUGAGGCUCGAAAGCGUGGGGAGCGAACAGGAUUAGAUACCCGGGUAGUC
RNAcentral lists this ribosomal RNA (441 nucleotides) under uncultured bacterium. RNAcentral's name for it is "partial 16S ribosomal RNA". It matches the Rfam family "Bacterial small subunit ribosomal RNA", at positions 338 to 795 of the family's 1533-position model. The record is from RNAcentral.